ACUCAAAUGAAUUGACGGGAGCCCGCACAAGCAGUGGAGUAUGUUGUUUAAUUCGAGGCGACGCGAAGAACCUUACCAGGUCUUGACAUCCCGUGAACCCUGCGUAAUGGCGGGGGUGCCCUUCGGGGAGCACGGUGACAGGUGGUGCAUGGUUGUCGUCAGCUCGUGUCGUGAGAUGUUGGGUUAAGUCCCGCAACGAGCGCAACCCUUGCGGAUAGUUGCUAGCUGGUUAACCCCAGAAGCACUCUAUUCGGACUGCCGUUGAUAAAACGGAGGAAGGCGGGGAUGAUGUCAAAUCAUCAUGCCCCUUAAGAUCUGGGCCACAAACGUACUACAAUGGCGCGAACAGAGGGGAGCGAAGCCGCGAGGCGGAGCAAAUCCCAAAAACGCGUCCCAGUUCAGAUUGCAGGCUGCAACUCGCCUGCAUGAAGUCGGAAUUGCUAGUAAUCGCGGAUCAGCAUGCCGCGGUGAAUACGUUCCCGGGCUUUGCACACACCGCCCGU
RNAcentral lists this ribosomal RNA (503 nucleotides) under uncultured bacterium. Its description in RNAcentral is "bacterial SSU rRNA". It matches the Rfam family "Bacterial small subunit ribosomal RNA", at positions 899 to 1397 of the family's 1533-position model. The record is from RNAcentral.